UCCUACGGGGGGCAGCAGUGGGGAAUAUUGCACAAUGGGGGAAACCCUGAUGCAGCGACGCCGCGUGAGCGAUGAAGUAUUUCGGUAUGUAAAGCUCUAUCAGCAGGGAAGAAAAUGACGGUACCUGACUAAGAAGCCCCGGCUAACUACGUGCCAGCAGCCGCGGUAAUACGUAGGGAGCGAGCGUUGUCCGGAUUUACUGGGUGUAAAGGGCGUGCAGCCGGGAGUACAAGUCAGAUGUGAAAUCCCGCGGCUCAACCGCGGUACUGCAUUUGAAACUGUAUUUCUUGAGUACUGGAGAGGCA
RNAcentral lists this ribosomal RNA (305 nucleotides) under uncultured bacterium. RNAcentral describes it as "bacterial SSU rRNA". It matches the Rfam family "Bacterial small subunit ribosomal RNA", at positions 337 to 659 of the family's 1533-position model. The record is from RNAcentral.